UGCCAGACUCCUACGGGAGGCAGCAGUGAGGAAUAUUGGUCAAUGGGCGGAAUCCUGAACCAGCCAUGCCGCGUGCAGGACGACGGCUCUACGAGUUGUAAACUGCUUUUGUACCGGGGUAAAAUGCCUUACGAGUAGGGCUUUGCAUGUACCGUAUGAAUAAGGAUCGGCUAACUCCGUGCCAGCAGCCGCGGUAAUACGGAGGAUCCGAGCGUUAUCCGGAUUCAUUGGGUUUAAAGGGAGCGUAGGUUGCUUUAUAAGGUAGCGGGGAAAUGCCGAGGCUCAACACCGGGGCUGCCGCUAAUACUGUAGGACUAGAGAUCGGAGGCAGCAGGCGGAAUGUGUAGUGUAGCGGUGAAAUGCAUAGAUAUUACGCAGAACACCGAUUGCGAAGGCAGCUUGCUAGGCCGGAACUGACGCUGAUGCACGAAAGCGUGGGGAUCGAACAGGAUUAGAUACCCGAGUA
This 466-nucleotide ribosomal RNA is filed under the name uncultured bacterium. RNAcentral describes it as "bacterial SSU rRNA". It matches the Rfam family "Bacterial small subunit ribosomal RNA", at positions 329 to 792 of the family's 1533-position model. The record is from RNAcentral.